AACUCCCAAACCCAAUGUGAACCAUACCAAACUGUUGCCUCGGCGGGGUCACGCCCCGGGUGCGUCGCAGCCCCGGAACCAGGCGCCCGCCGGAGGGACCAACCAAACUCUUUUCUGUAGUCCCCUCGCGGACGUUAUUUCUUACAGCUCUGAGCAAAAAUUCAAAAUGAAUCAAAACUUUCAACAACGGAUCUCUUGGUUCUGGCAUCGAUGAAGAACGCAGCGAAAUGCGAUAAGUAAUGUGAAUUGCAGAAUUCAGUGAAUCAUCGAAUCUUUGAACGCACAUUGCGCCCGCCAGUAUUCUGGCGGGCAUGCCUGUCCGAGCGUCAUUUCAACCCUCGAACCCCUCCGGGGGGUCGGCGUUGGGGACCUCGGGAGCCCCUAAGACGGGAUCCCGGCCCCGAAAUACAGUGGCGGUCUCGCCGCAUCCUCUCCUGCGCAGUAGUGUGCACAACUCGCACCGGGAGCGCGGCGCGUCCACGUCCGUAAAACACCCAACUUCUGAAAUGUUGACCUCGGAUCAGGUAAGAAUACCCGC
RNAcentral lists this ribosomal RNA (538 nucleotides) under Trichoderma atroviride. RNAcentral describes it as "eukaryotic LSU rRNA". The stretch from base 176 to 329 matches the Rfam family "5.8S ribosomal RNA". Lineage: Eukaryota; Fungi; Ascomycota; Sordariomycetes; Hypocreales; Hypocreaceae. The record is from RNAcentral.